AUAAAGUUAGUUAAAUAAUAAUCUUAGGUUGUCAGCCUGAAGUUACUAGUUUUAUUUUAGUACUUUUUA
Molecule: transfer RNA, 69 nt
Filed under: Viviparus chui
Lineage: Eukaryota; Metazoa; Mollusca; Gastropoda; Architaenioglossa; Viviparidae
Description: tRNA-Asp
Source: RNAcentral